RNAcentral lists this ribosomal RNA (292 nucleotides) under uncultured bacterium. RNAcentral's name for it is "partial 16S ribosomal RNA". It matches the Rfam family "Bacterial small subunit ribosomal RNA", at positions 505 to 796 of the family's 1533-position model. The record is from RNAcentral.
GUGCCAGCAGCCGCGGUAAUACGUAGGGUGCGAGCGUUAAUCGGAAUUACUGGGCGUAAAGCGUGCGCAGGCGGAUUGUUAAGCAAGACGUGAAAUCCCCGGGCUUAACCUGGGAAUGGCGUUUUGAACUGGCAGUCUAGAGUGCGUCAGAGGGGGGUGGAAUUCCACGUGUAGCAGUGAAAUGCGUAGAGAUGUGGAGGAACACCGAUGGCGAAGGCAGCCCCCUGGGAUGACACUGACGCUCAUGUACGAAAGCGUGGGUAGCAAACAGGAUUAGAAACCCUUGUAGUCC